This 510-nucleotide ribosomal RNA is filed under the name uncultured bacterium. Its description in RNAcentral is "partial 16S ribosomal RNA". It matches the Rfam family "Bacterial small subunit ribosomal RNA", at positions 28 to 507 of the family's 1533-position model. The record is from RNAcentral.
GACGAACGCUGGCGGCGUGCUUAACACAUGCAAGUCGAACGAAGAGCGACGGAAGCUUGCUUCUAUCAAUCUUAGUGGCGAACGGGUGAGUAACGCGUAAUCAACCUGCCCUUCAGAGGGGGACAACAGUUGGAAACGACUGCUAAUACCGCAUACGAUCUAAUCUCGGCAUCGAGGAUGGAUGAAAGGUGGCCUCUACAUGUAAGCUAUCACUGAAGGAGGGGAUUGCGUCUGAUUAGCUAGUUGGAGGGGUAACGGCCCACCAAGGCGAUGAUCAGUAGCCGGUCUGAGAGGAUGAACGGCCACAUUGGGACUGAGACACGGCCCAGACUCCUACGGGAGGCAGCAGUGGGGAAUCUUCCGCAAUGGACGAAAGUCUGACGGAGCAACGCCGCGUGAGUGAUGACGGCCUUCGGGUUGUAAAGCUCUGUUAAUCGGGACGAAAGGCCUUCUUGCGAAUAGUGAGAAGGAUUGACGGUACCGGAAGAGAAAGCCACGGCUAACUACGUG